UUUUUUUUUAUUUUUUAUUUUUUUAGAUUUUAUUUAUUUAUUCAUAGACACACAGAGAGAGGCAGAGACACAGGCAGAAGGAGAGGGAGAAGCAGGCUCCAUGCAGGGAGCCCGACGUGGGACUCGAUCCUAGGUCUCCAGGAUCACACCUCGGGCUGCAGGUGGCGCCAAACCGCUGCGCCACCAGGGCUGCCCUGAUGGUUAGUUUUAUAUAUAAACUUCAGUGGUCUUGAGGUGCCCAUAUUAUAUCUGAGUUUAUCUGUUAGAGCUGUUUCCAGAGAAUAGCAUUUGGAUUGUUGGCCUCAGUGGACUGCCUUUCUCAGUGUGGAAGGGCAUCUAAUCUGUUGAGAGCCUAAACAGAAUUAAAAGAUAGAGGAAGGAGGAAUUUGUUCCUUUCUUCCCACUUCAUCAUUUGAGCUGAGAUCUCUCAUUUCAUCUUCUCCUGACCUUGGACUGCGAUUUAUACCACCGGCUCCUCUGGUUCUCAGGCCUUCAAAUUUGGAAUGGAUUACUCCACUGACUUUCUUGGGCCUCCAGGUUCAAACAGCAGAUCCUGGGAAUUCUCAGCCUCCACAGGUUGUUUCUCUGGAGAACCUGGACUACUACAGAUUUUGGAACUGAGAGUGGAGUGCUCCUAUAACAAAUAUCUAAAAAUGUAGAAGUGGCUUUGGUACUGGAUAACAAAUAGUGGCUGAAAAAGUUUAGAGGUGCAUGCUCAAAAUGAAAGGGCCAUUCUGGUGAGGUCCCAGAAAGAAAAGAGGAGAGGUGGAAAAAAAACUUCAAUCUUCUUAGAAAAUAUUUAAAUAAUCCUGAACGGAAUGCUGGUAGCAAUACAGACCACAAGCGCACUAUGAUUAGGUUUCAGAUGGAAAUAAGGAACACAUUAUUGGAAACUGAAGAAAAGAUGAUCCUUAAUUUAAAGUGACAAAGAACCUGGCAGAACUGUGUUCAUGUUGUAGUGUUUUGUGGAAGGUAGAACUUGCAAGCAAUACAUCAGCUAUUUAGCUGAGGACUCAGAUCUCUAAGCAAAGUAUUGAAGGAAUGACCUGGUCCCUCCUGAAUAUUUAUGGUAAAAUUGUUAAGCUAAAAAAAAAAAAAAAAAAAAAGAAGAAGAAAGAAAGAAGGAACUAGAACUUAAAGAUUGGAAAUGUUUUCAGCCUAUCCACACUGCAAAAAAUAAGAAAGUGUUUUUGGAAGAGGACACUAAUGGUGUAGCAAAGUGACCAUUUAAUAAGAAGAUUAAUACCUAAACCACAGACCUAAAACAUCCAUCUCAACAGAAGCCAGGUGCUGUUCUUCAAGAUAAGGAAAGAAUAAUAACAACACUACCACCACUACCACCACCCACUGCCAAGGUAAAUCAGAGAUCAUCAAAGUUGCCACUGCUAUCACAGGCCCAAAGUGCAAGAAUUCAGGGGACAGAAUGGUUUCAAAGGGUAGGAUGCCUCUUUCUUACAUCUAAACUAAGACAACAUGGAAUUUUAUUUCACUCAGUGAGAGAACUUAUAUUUUAAUUUGUUCAUAUAGAUAUUUCCAUAAAGCAAACUAUAACAAAUAUUCAACAGUAAGUAUAUUACAGACCACAGUCACUGAUCAUGAUUUAAUGACACUAGAAAUAAUUUUUAAAUGGUUUGAAACAUCUUAAAAUUUGAAAAUUAACUGAUCAAAGAGGAAAAAUCACAGGCUCCCUAUAAAUUAAUGGAAAGAUAAAUACAUAAAAAAAAUGCACAGAACACAGCAAAAGCCAUACUUAAGUAAAAAUUUAUGCCCCUAAAUCCUUUCAUUAUGAAGAAAAUGACAAUCACAUGAAUGUUAUAUUUACCUUAAGGUUAAAAAAAGCAUAAAAGUAACCAAAAGAAAAUAAAAAGAAUGAAUAAAAAUAACAGAUAUAAUUAGUGAUACAGAAAGUUGGUAAUUCCAAAAACGUGUUUUUUUAACUGCUUAAGAAUAUAAAACAAAACAAAUAUUAGCAAGACUGGGAAAGAAUAAAUGUAUUAUUUCCUAGAAAAUAUAAAUAACCCAAAUUAAACCAAGUAGUAAACCCAAAAUUACCAAAGAAAGACUAGAAAGGUGACUAUCAUUUUUAUUUAUUUAUUUAUUUAUUUAUUUAUUUAUUUAUUUAUUUAGAUCUUAUUAUUUGAGAGACAGAGGUGGAGAGUGUGCAUGAACUGUGGGAAGAACAGAGGGAAAGGGACAAGUAGACUCUGCUGAGCACAGAGCUUGAUUCAAGAGCUCAAUCCCAUGACCCCUAAGAUCAUGACCCAAGCACAAAUCAAAAGCCCAAUGCUUAAAUGACUGAGCCACUCAGGCAGCUAUUAUUUUCAAUAACACAUCCAAAAAACCUUUAAACCUGAAUUCUAGGGGCACCUGGGUGGCUCAGUGGUUGAGCAUUCGCCUUUGGCUCAGGUCUUGAUCCAAGGUCCUGGGAUCAAGUCCUACAUCGGGCUCCCCACAAGGAGCCUGCUUCUCCCUCUGCCAAUGUCUCUGCUUCUCUGAGUGUCUCUCAUGAAUAAAUAAAUAAAAUAUUUUUUUUUAAUCUGAAUUCUAACAGUUAAGUAACAACCACAAUGUUAUUUAAAUUAUUCCAUACCAAAUAAAAGAUGAAAUGUUUUCCAAUUCAUUUCAUAAAACAGCAAAACUUUAUUACCAAAACUUAAUUAAAAAACAAACUCUAAAACUAUAUAUCUUUCUAAUUAUUUCAGUUACUAUGGCUACAAAAAAAAUAAAUAAAUAACCCUAAUAUUGACCAAGACACCGUUUACUUUGCUCAUGAAUCUGCAAUUUAAACAGCUUGUCUCUGCUCCACUUAGCAUCAACCAGGGUGGCUCAAAGGCUGGGGACUGAAAUUAAAUAAAGCCUCAUUCACUAAUGUGUCUGAUGGCUGACGCUGUCAGAUGAAACCCUGGCUGGCUUCACAUAGCUUCUGUAUGUAGACUAGGCUUCCUCAUACUAUAGUGGCUAGGUUCCAAAGGUAAGCAACCUGAGAGAGCCAGGCAAAAAACAGUACCACCUUUUCUGACCUAACUUCCUUAUAAGUCAUAUCAGCUCCUCAAUUCAAAGGCCAACACAAGUUCAAGAAGAGGAGAAAUACACUCAGCUUCUAAGUGGCAUGGUUCUAGAAGAACACGUGUAAUCACAAAUAUUGUUGAAAUCAGUUUUCAAAAUACCAUAUGCUUCAGUCCACCUUCUGGCCACAGCAGUUCACAUCCUUCCAACAUGCAAAAAAUAUACUCAUUCCCUCCCCCAAUACCCGCAGCUACUAGGCUCAGGCUUGAGGUCCAGGUAUGGAUGAACUUCUUGGGUACAGUUCCUUAGAUAUAGCCCCUUGAGUAUAGUUCCUCUUGAUCUGAAGAGC
This 3355-nucleotide long non-coding RNA is filed under the name Canis lupus familiaris (dog). Its description in RNAcentral is "lncRNA (ENSCAFG00845003915.1)". Lineage: Eukaryota; Metazoa; Chordata; Mammalia; Carnivora; Canidae. The record is from RNAcentral.